UACGGGGGGAGCUAGCGUUGUUCGGAAUUACUGGGCGUAAAGCGCGCGUAGGCGGUAUACUAAGUCAGGGGUGAAAUCCCGGGGCUCAACCCCGGAACUGCCCUUGAAACUGGUAAACUAGAAUCCUGGAGAGGCGAGUGGAAUUCCGAGUGUAGAGGUGAAAUGCGUAGAUAUUCGGAGGAACACCAGUGGCGAAGGCGGCUCACUGGCUCGGUACUGACGCUGAGGUGCGAAAGCGUGGGGAGCAAACAGG
Molecule: ribosomal RNA, 253 nt
Filed under: uncultured bacterium
Lineage: Bacteria
Description: partial 16S ribosomal RNA
Rfam family: Bacterial small subunit ribosomal RNA
Source: RNAcentral